UCCUGUGGCGAGUGGCGAACGGGUGAGUAAUAUAUCGGAACGUGCCCGGUCGUGGGGGAUAACGUAGCGAAAGCUACGCUAAUACCGCAUACGAUCUACGGAUGAAANCGGGGGAUCGCAAGACCUCGCGCGAUUGGAGCGGCCGAUAUCAGAUUAGGUAGUUGGUGAGGUAAAGGCUCACCAAGCCGACGAUCUGUAGCUGGUCUGAGAGGACGACCAGCCACACUGGGACUGAGACACGGCCCAGACUCCUACGGGAGGCAGCAGUGGGGAAUUUUGGACAAUGGGCGCAAGCCUGAUCCAGCAAUGCCGCGUGCAGGAUGAAGGCCUUCGGGUUGUAAACUGCUUUUGUACGGAACGAAACGGUGAGCUCUAAUACAGUUUGCUAAUGACGGUACCGUAAGAAUAAGCACCGGCUAACUACGUG
This 427-nucleotide ribosomal RNA is filed under the name uncultured bacterium. Its description in RNAcentral is "bacterial SSU rRNA". It matches the Rfam family "Bacterial small subunit ribosomal RNA", at positions 84 to 507 of the family's 1533-position model. The record is from RNAcentral.